RNAcentral lists this long non-coding RNA (2144 nucleotides) under Capsicum annuum. RNAcentral describes it as "long non-coding RNA (CANN_LNC016678)". The record is from RNAcentral. Lineage: Eukaryota; Viridiplantae; Streptophyta; Magnoliopsida; Solanales; Solanaceae.
AAAGGGCUCACCAUUUACACGGAAAGACACCACAUAAUUCUACAAAUCUUCUUCCAUUUUCUUUUCCUGAAGAAUACAUAGAAACUUCUCUAUAAUUAUUCAUUCCCUGCACACAAUACAAUGAAUACACAGACCAUACUCUCCACUCAAGAACACUUCACCAUUUUUAAUUUCUAAUUGACAAAGAUUACACUACACACCAUUUGAGCAAUAAUAGAGAAGAAGAGAAAGAAAAGAUAUCAGUAGAGAGUAUCUAAGAUAAGUUAGCAGGCAUCUUUCACCAAUAAAGUAUGAAUUUAUUUAUAGUUUUCUACAUCUGAUUCUGAAAACAGUGACAAUAAAAUGAUACCAAUGUAUAGUUGAUUUUCUUCUUGGUGGUAGUCGUUUGCAGCCAGGUUAAGAAUAGAUAUUGGUUGAUAUUGAUUGCUUAGGGGAAAUUUAUAUAAAAAGAAGAAAGAAUUAGGUUGUGCUACUGCUUGAACUGGGUUUUGUUUCUCGUUACUACGUGUCCAUUUCUAGUAAAACAGAUUAAAGAAAUGUAUAGUUACUUACUCAAGACUUGUAUAUUAUGGAAAAUCUUUUUGGGUUUGAGAAUCCCUUUAUCUUCACCGUAGCUUCCUUUAUUUCCUUCUGUUUUUGGAAUAAACUGAUGUGUAAGAAGAAAAAUUGAUACAGAGGAUUCGACCCAAUUAGUUUGUAUUUGAAGAGUGGAUAUUAUUUUCUUAUUAGAGCCUUCAACUGAAUCUAUUCUCUUAUGCUUUGGAAAAAUAUUUCUUGCCUUUGCUCAUUCACUUCCUAGUAAAUGGGUGUUGUUAAAUUUGUAUUCUUACGAGAAAUAUAUAUAUAUAUAUAUAUAUAUAUAUAUAUAUAUAUAUAUAUAUAAACACAUACGGCACACAUAUAUAUAUAUAUAUAUAUAUAUAUAUAUAUAUAUAUAUAUGAACAGAUUCGGAUCAUUCGAAAGUUUUACAUAAGGGCAAGUUUAUUAAUUGACGCCUGACUUCGGAUACCGAUUGAAGCCACUGAAGGUUAUUUGGUUGGUAUUCUACGCAUAGUGAGGUUGUGGAACUUGUCUUUAGCAAGGUAAGUGAGACUUUAAGCUUUGAAGCUUGCUUUUCAAAUCUGAUUUAUAAAACUUAUAUUUUUCUACCUAGUCCAUGCGUUAGGACAAGUGUGAACUUGGUAGAAUUUGUGGCUUUUGACUAGCUAUGAAUACGUAUUUUGAAAAGUGUGUUGAGAAUUAUUUAGAGUGAAACGCGAGGUAAGGUUGGGGCGCUGAAUAUAUUUUCUUCGCUGCCGUUAUAGUCUUUAGGGGAAUACAUAGCUGCCGUAAUAUGUUAGGGACAUUACUUAUGCUGUUGUAAUAUGUUAGGGGCAUUAUUUAUGCUGCCGUAAUAUGUUAGUGGCGUUACUUAUGCUGUCAUAAUAUGUUAGGGGCAUUACUUAUGCUGUCGUAAUAUGUUAGGGGCAUUAUUUAUGCUGUUGUAAUAUGUUAGGGGCAUUACCUAUGCUGUCGUAAUAUGUUAGGGGCUUGUACAUGUUAUCGUAGUAGACUUUUUGGGGCUUUAUAUAUGUUGCCGUGGACUUGUCGGGGUGUUAGGCCGAUUACCUUCACUGCCAUUUAUGACAAGUCGUGAGUGUGGAUUGAGUUGUUAUAGGAUGAUAUUUUGAACCUCUUUGAAACUCUUAUUGAUAUUAUUUUAUGAAAGAUAUUAUGUACAUAUUAAUUGUGUAUUUUUGUUGUGCUUUGUAUUUUCUAACACUUGUUCCAAGGGUAUUAAAGUAGCGAGUCAAGGAUCUUACUGAGUUAUAUUUAUAUAGCUCACUCCUUACUUGCAUACGUGCAGAUACGGUUGCAGAGAGAGAGGCUCGUGGCUGACUGUAUUUAUGUGUGGAUUCUAUCUCUAAGGUGAGCCUUCGCAUUAUGCGUGAAGGCUGUCAUUCAUCUCUCGUUAUUUUAGCUUAUGUUUUCAUUUGUUGGGUUUGUUUACCCAAAAGUUGAACUCAUGUAAUUCUGUUUAGAUGCUCCAUGAACUCAGUGUGGGAUUUGGGUUAGAGAUUUGUUAUCUAAACUAUUGUAGUUUUCAUAUAUCGCUAUGCGAUGUCUUGUUGGAUAAUGAUCCUGCGUUAAUAAUUAUUUCGUG